GGGGUUGUGGCUCAGUUGUAGAGUGCUUGCCUGACAUGUAUGAGGUCCUGGGUUUGAUCCCCAACACCA
RNAcentral lists this transfer RNA (69 nucleotides) under Ictidomys tridecemlineatus (thirteen-lined ground squirrel). RNAcentral describes it as "Spermophilus tridecemlineatus (thirteen-lined ground squirrel) tRNA". It matches the Rfam family "tRNA". Rfam says of the family: Transfer RNA (tRNA) molecules are approximately 80 nucleotides in length. Their secondary structure includes four short double-helical elements and three loops (D, anti-codon, and T loops). The record is from Rfam by way of RNAcentral. Lineage: Eukaryota; Metazoa; Chordata; Mammalia; Rodentia; Sciuridae.